AGGAUUUGUUAGAAAGGAGACCCGACUGCAACUGCUGGAUUGCUGCAAGGCUGAGGGACGAGAACGAGAAUUCAACUAGAGGGCAGCCUUGUGGAUGGCCCCGAAGCAAGCCUGAUGGAACAGGAUAGAACCAACCAUGUUGAGGGCAACAGACUAAGUCCAUUCCUGAUACCAUCACCUCCCAUUUGCCAGACAGAACCUCUGGCUACAAAGCUCCAGAAUGGAAGCCCACUGCCUGAGAGAGCUCAUCCAGAAGUAAAUGGAGACACCAAGUGGCAGUCUUUCAAAAGUUAUUAUGGAAUACCCUGUAUGAAGGGAAACCAGAAUAGUCGUGUGAGUCCUGACUUUACACAAGAAAGUAGAGGGUAUUCCAAGUGUUUGCAAAAUGGAGGAAUAAAACGCACAGUUAGUGAACCUUCUCUCUCUGGGCUCCUUCAGAUCAAGAAAUUGAAACAAGACCAAAAGGCUAAUGGAGAAAGACGUAACUUCGGGGUAAGCCAAGAAAGAAAUCCAGGUGAAAGCAGUCAACCAAAUGUCUCCGAUUUGAGUGAUAAGAAAGAAUCUGUGAGUUCUGUAGCCCAAGAAAAUGCAGUUAAAGAUUUCACCAGUUUUUCAACACAUAACUGCAGUGGG
This 633-nucleotide long non-coding RNA is filed under the name Pan troglodytes (chimpanzee). RNAcentral describes it as "long non-coding RNA NONPTRT012639". Lineage: Eukaryota; Metazoa; Chordata; Mammalia; Primates; Hominidae. The record is from RNAcentral.